RNAcentral lists this ribosomal RNA (740 nucleotides) under Elops smithi. RNAcentral describes it as "partial small subunit ribosomal RNA". The record is from RNAcentral. Lineage: Eukaryota; Metazoa; Chordata; Actinopteri; Elopiformes; Elopidae.
CAGGCACGCAACAGCAGCCCAAGACGCCUUGUUCAGCCACACCCCCAAGGGAACUCAGCAGKGAUAAACAUUAAGCCAUAAGCGAAAGCUUGACUUAGCUAACGUCAAAAGGGCCGGUAAAUCUCGUGCCAGCCACCGCGGUUAUACGAAAGGCCCGAGUUGAUGGUCACCGGCGUAAAGAGUGAUUAUAGCAUGUUAAAAUAACUAAAGCCAAAGCCCUUCCCGGCUGUCAUACGCACCCGAAGGCAUGAGGCCCCUACACGAAAGUAGCUUUAACCACAAGACCCCUAGAACUCACGACAGCCAAGACACAAACUGGGAUUAGAUACCCCACUAUGCUUGGCCGUAAACCUUGAUGAUAAAACACAAAUAUCAUCCGCCAGGGGACUACAAGCGUCAGCUUAAAACCCAAAGGACUUGGCGGUGCCCCACACCCACCUAGAGGAGCCUGUUCUAGAACCGAUAACCCCCGUUAAACCUCACCACCCCUUGUCAACCCCGCCUAUAUACCACCGUCGCCAGCUUACCCUGUGAAGGACCAAUAGUAAGCCUAAUGAGCACAGCUCAAAACGUCAGGUCGAGGUGUAGCGAAUGGGGUGGGAAGAAAUGGGCUACAUUUUCUGAAACCAGAAUACUACGGAUGACAUAGUGAAACCAAUGCCUGAAGGUGGAUUUAGCAGUAAAAAGGGAACAGAGAGCCCUUUUGAAAUAGGCCCUGGGGCGCGCACACACCGCCCGUC